AGCAGCCGCGGUAAUUCCAGCUCCAAUAGCGUAUAUUAAAGAUGUUGCAGUUAAAAAGCUCGCAGUUGAAUUUCGGGAUUAGUGCGCCGGUCGUGCCUUCGGUAUGUACUGGUGUUACUGGUUCCUACCUUCUGACGAACCGUCAUGUCAUUAAUUUGGUGUGGCGGGGAAUCAGGACUGUUACUUUGAAAAAAUUAGAGUGUUUAAAGCAGGCUCGCGCUUGAAUACAUUAGCAUGGAAUAAUGAAAUAGGACGUUCGAUCCUAUUUUGUUGGUUUCUAGGAUUGACGUAAUGAUUAAUAGGGAUAGUUGGGGGCAUUAGUAUUCAAUUGUCAGAGGUGAAAUUCUUGGAUUUAU
This 356-nucleotide ribosomal RNA is filed under the name uncultured Glomeraceae. RNAcentral describes it as "SSU rRNA". It matches the Rfam family "Eukaryotic small subunit ribosomal RNA", at positions 569 to 929 of the family's 1831-position model. The record is from RNAcentral. Lineage: Eukaryota; Fungi; Glomeromycota; Glomeromycetes; Glomerales; Glomeraceae.